Molecule: RNase MRP RNA, 239 nt
Filed under: Tropilaelaps mercedesae
Lineage: Eukaryota; Metazoa; Arthropoda; Arachnida; Mesostigmata; Laelapidae
Description: RNase MRP
Rfam family: RNase MRP
About the family: RNase MRP is an enzymatically active ribonucleoprotein with two distinct roles in eukaryotes. In mitochondria it plays a direct role in the initiation of mitochondrial DNA replication.
Source: Rfam by way of RNAcentral
UCGUUUCUACUCUACCUGCUAAGGGGCAUCAAACGGAGUUCAAUGUAACUCAUUGGCCCUUGGGAAAGUCCCCGGACCACACAGCAGAGAGUGCUACCUAUUAAAAUAGGCGAUCCCUUCGCAAGCCGGCUAUUGGUGGUGCCGUGUGGCGAUGGGACCUGGUCGCAGCACAGGAAUGCGGGUAGCUACAGCGCUCGGCGCUACAGGGCAUACUCAAUGGGGCUCAUACAGUGGAGAUG